GAUGAACGCUGGCGGCGUGCCUAAUACAUGCAAGUCGAGCGAACGGACGAGAAUCUUUCUUCUCUGAUGUUAGCGGCGGACGGGUGAGUAACACGUGGAUAACCUCCCUAUAAGACUGGGAUAACUUCGGGAAACCGUAGCUAAUACCGGAUAAUAUUUUGAACCUCAUGGUUCAAAAGUGAAAGACGGUCUUGCUGUCACUUAUAGAUGGAUCCGCUCUGCAUUAGCUAGUUGUUAAGGUAACGGCUUACCAAGGCAACGAUGCAUAGCCGACCUGAGAGGGGGAUCGGCCACACUGGAAGUGAGACACGGACCAGAGUCCUACGGGAGGCAGCAGUAGGGAAGCUUACGCAAUGGGCGAAAGCCUGACGGAGCAACGCCGCGUGAGUGAUGAAGGUCUUCGGAUCGUAAAACUCUGUUAUUAGUGAAGAACAUAUGUGUAAGUAACUGUGCACAUCUUGACGGUACCUAAUCAGAAAGCCACGGCUAACUACGUG
Molecule: ribosomal RNA, 497 nt
Filed under: uncultured bacterium
Lineage: Bacteria
Description: partial 16S ribosomal RNA
Rfam family: Bacterial small subunit ribosomal RNA
Source: RNAcentral